GAGAAGAAUGGGGCCAUGAUCAGAGGCCGCCGCCGUCCUCACUGUCGCACCAUGAUUCGCGUUUGUUCUGGUUUCGCUAUGCUGGCUCGUCAUCGCUGUUGUUUGUGGGCUUUUGUUUUGUUGGGCCGGUACCUUUUCCUUCUCUGUAGUAUUUGCCGUUGUUUCUUGUCUUUUUUCCUCGUUGACUGAGCUACGACGGCGAGCGAGUAAUGGUGAGCGGCGACGGCGACCUGUUCCGUGCCCCUCCAACGGGCGCCUCUAGGUGGAGUGGCGACGGCAGCACCUGCUCCUUCUACUUCGCCUGCAUCCUGACUUCUCGUCACUCCCAGGUUAAUGGCGACGGCGGAUCCUGCUCCGUCUCCUUUGCCUCCGGCAGCCGCGUCUACAAGAUCGAGGUACCUCUCCAUCUUUUCUACGGACAGGUGUGCAGUGGACGAUAUCGCAUGUUCCUCUCGAACUUAAUUUGGUGGAGUAGAUUGUGUAUUAGUUGCGUUGAGUGGUUUUCUGAAUUUUGAUAGUUAUGUAGCCCAUCUGAAUCAUGAAUUCUGCUUCGUAAGUGACACAGAAUCUAGUGCUCCCUUGCCUUUGCUUAGAAUGGAAGUGCAAUGUCAUAUAACUACUAUACUAUUUGGGAACUGACUUCAUUUUUCUCAAAAUUUUGGAUUUAUUUUUUGCAUGCCUGUCAUGUUGACACGUGUAUUUACAUGGUCUGUUAUUUCUUUGUGUGCAGUUCUGGAGGUGUUCUGUAAUUUAUGUAUCCCUAAUUCACUCUAGUUGUCGUGUGACUGGGUGCGUGUAGCCUAUUCACUUUUCUGUUCGGCUGUUCUUUUUGUCGCAUGGUGGGUCCCAAACAUGCGGUCGAGCGGUGUGAUCACGCCGCUUUGACCGCAAGCACGCCUUGCCUCUCCCAGUUUCUCUCCUCACCCGUACCUAUCCCCUCUUUCUAUUUACUGUAUCUGGCAUUCCGUCCGGCGGCAACGAUGUGAAGGGAGGCGCACCCUCGGCUCCGCGCCGUCCGGCGCGUCCUUGCUCCACAGCAGCCGACGCGAUUACUUCUGCACGGGGAGUGCCAGCUGCAGCGGCGACCGUGUGUUCGGACUCCACGGCAAGCAGCUGCGGACGGUGCUAGCUCCGCGAGGAGGAGUGCCGCGGGGUUGAUGGCCAUGGCAGAGUGGAGUGGUUCAGGAUUUUGUGUCCGUCAAAGCGGUUCUGCCUCCUUUCUGUCCCCUCUCAGCUCUCUUUUCAUCCCAUGCUUUUCUCUCUCUCUCUCUCUCCCCUUUUUCUUCUCUGAUCUCGCUCCUGAUCUGUUCGUGCCCUGAUCUUCUCCAUUGCCUAGAGCUCUCCUGCUUGGAGGUUGUGGGAGGAGUCAUGGUCGCCUGAUCUUUUGGAUCGCGGUUUUGGCCCUUUCGGUGGUGCCGCUGCGGCGAGAGACUCGCGCCGACCUGCCACACCAAUUCCCGUCACGCGCCGGCAGCAGCAGUCCGGCUUGCGCCCCGGGCCCGCAGGCUUCCCGGGCGGCCGAAAUCCGUCGCGCUAGCUCGGCUGCCGGGCGCCGCUGGGGAACGUCGACCGGAGCGCGGAGGAGAGCAGCAGGGGAGGAGCGGCGCCGUUCUUACUGCUGCCGUCAGGCCCAAGCCCUCCCUUGCGCGCGCUCUUCCUAGCUUGGAGAUGCGUCUAAGGUGGUGCAGCGCUCUGUGAGUCAGCUCCGCAGCACCAGGAUCCCUCUCCGGUCGGUGCUGAUUCGUCUUCUCCACAACGCCAUCGGGGUGCUAGAUCUCCGCUCCGGUAGCGGCCGGUGCCCCUCCACGCGCGAUGCCCUGGCUCAGCACCAGGUGGUGCGUUGCCCCUGCGUGAUGACAUGGUGAUCGGUUUUAGUAAUUCUUCUUCAGGUUCAGGUCCUACAUCAGGCAGUGUGUUCUGACAUCUGCUUUCAUUUUAGAUUUUGGCAGCUUCCUGAUUCUUUUUGUCACAUAUGAGCUUUUUAUUUGUAGGUAUGUACAUGCAGCCUAUGCUGGAUAUAAAUCCUGAACUUCGCUUAUGAAAUCUCAGUUUCAAAGUUUGUUCCAUGUAUCAUCCAAUGUGGCAGACUACCAUGCCCUCUGUCCGUAGUCAAUGUCGUGUUGUGUCUACUUUCGCACCUGCAGGCCCGACUCUCCUACAAAGCAGGUGGUAUGCAAAACCUACUGUGAAGGCGAGAUUCAGCAAAACAAAAGAAUUACAGAACCAAUAUGGGAAGGAAAACAAAAAAAGUUAGAUCCAAUAAUGCUUAGCCUUCCCUUCAGUUUGUACAUGUCGUUAUUUAAAUUUAGAAUGCUUAUGUAGUGCAUUCUUCUUGCCUUGAUCAAGUAGCACAACACUCACUAAUUCCUACUUUGCUUUACAAAUGUGGACAUUAAGAGAAUUUUCCAUGCAUAUGUUUCAUUGCAGGGUUUCUUCACACUUGUGAAUUGUGAUGCCUCCAGUUUAGAAGAAACUUAUAUAUUUCAGUACUGACCUUGAUCCAUUUUCUCUGUUAAACGUUGUCAUCGACUACUCAAACAGGAAGUACCAAAAAUAUUCUCCCAGCAUGUGUUCCUUUGAUAGUUCGUUAAUAAUUUUAUUUUUCUAUCACACGUAGGUUACUAAGCCAUUUUUAUAUUUUGUAUGUUAUUGUUCGAAGCAUGGUACAUAUUGCACUGAGUGCUACUUCCGGGCUGGGAAACAUUUCAAGUCAAGUACAUGGUUUGUU
This is a non-coding RNA of Lolium perenne, 2728 nucleotides long. Lineage: Eukaryota; Viridiplantae; Streptophyta; Magnoliopsida; Poales; Poaceae. The record is from RefSeq and is a predicted model, not a curated record.